UUAAAAAUUGCCGGGCUGAAGAGAAGGGC
This 29-nucleotide non-coding RNA is filed under the name Mus musculus (house mouse). Lineage: Eukaryota; Metazoa; Chordata; Mammalia; Rodentia; Muridae. The record is from RNAcentral.